GACGAACGCUGGCGGCGUGCCUAAUACAUGCAAGUCGAACGCAGUGGGGACGGGUGCGUAACAAGUGGGUAACCUCCCAUCAGACGGGAUAACACUUGGAUACAGGUGCUAAACCGCUACUGAUGGAUGUACCAGCGGUGCAUUAGCUAGGUGGUGAGGUAACGGCUCACCAAGGCCACGAUGCAGAGCCGACCUGAGAGGUUGAUCGGCCACACUGGGACGGAGACACGGCCCAGACUCCUACGGGAGGCAGCAGUGGGGAAUCUUCGGCAAUGGGCGAAAGUCUGACCGAGCAACGCCGCGUGAGUGAAGAAGGUUUUCGGAUCGUAAAACUCUGUUGUUAGAGAAGCGGUAUCUAACCAGAAAGCCACGGCUAACUACGUGCCAGCAGCCGCGGUAAUAC
RNAcentral lists this ribosomal RNA (403 nucleotides) under uncultured bacterium. RNAcentral describes it as "partial 16S ribosomal RNA". It matches the Rfam family "Bacterial small subunit ribosomal RNA", at positions 28 to 526 of the family's 1533-position model. The record is from RNAcentral.